This 362-nucleotide ribosomal RNA is filed under the name Salmonella enterica subsp. enterica serovar Schwarzengrund. Its description in RNAcentral is "bacterial SSU rRNA". It matches the Rfam family "Bacterial small subunit ribosomal RNA", at positions 1 to 359 of the family's 1533-position model. The record is from RNAcentral. Lineage: Bacteria; Pseudomonadati; Pseudomonadota; Gammaproteobacteria; Enterobacterales; Enterobacteriaceae.
AAAUUGAAGAGUUUGAUCAUGGCUCAGAUUGAACGCUGGCGGCAGGCCUAACACAUGCAAGUCGAACGGUAACAGGAAGCAGCUUGCUGCUUUGCUGACGAGUGGCGGACGGGUGAGUAAUGUCUGGGAAACUGCCCGAUGGAGGGGGAUAACUACUGGAAACGGUGGCUAAUACCGCAUAACGUCGCAAGACCAAAGAGGGGGACCUUCGGGCCUCUUGCCAUCAGAUGUGCCCAGAUGGGAUUAGCUUGUUGGUGAGGUAACGGCUCACCAAGGCGACGAUCCCUAGCUGGUCUGAGAGGAUGACCAGCCACACUGGAACUGAGACACGGUCCAGACUCCUACGGGAGACAGCAGUGGGG